CCGAGCGCCCGGGCCGGGGUCGCCCCAGAGACAGAGAACAGGGCCCGGGGCCUCUGCGGCCUCAUCGCCGCGAGGGAUGAGUGCAGAAACCCUGUCCAUGAGGAACCACGGCCCGCUCUAGGGCUUUGCAUGGUGACGGGCUUUAGUCUGCAUGAAACAUGCUUGGCUGCGCUUUGGGGCUCUGUGAUGAAUUAACUGCCAGAGGUCAAUACAGAAGGUUCACGUGCCCUUUGGAGUAAAUAUGAAAAGGCACAAGACUUGGCUGCGCUGCUGCAAUCCCAGUGACCUUCACAGGGAUCAGAGGGAACUGAGCCUGAAAGCUCCAAGGGAAAAAGCUGAUCAGUGGCCACAGCACAGACGUGGCCUGGUGCUUCUCCCAUGUCAGAGUGACUCCAAAGUGCUCCCAGGCUCGUCUGCUGCAGAGAGGAACCUCAGUCUGACUGAUACAUUCAAUCCUAAACACCAAAUUUUAAGCUGCUAAAAUCCCAUGAUGCAAGGUUUAAAGUAUCUGAGUGUGGCCAGCAGAGCUAAUCCCCUGCACAUUGUCUCCCUGAUCCCUGGUCCUCCUGCACUGCUCAGAAAAUGUAUUCAAAUACCCAGGAAGAAGCACAUUAACGCAGCUGCAUCCCUCUCCAUCAAACUUUCCAGUCAGCUCAGCAUUUUCUAAAUAAAAACACAGGCUUGGACAGAUUUUCUGCGGCCCCCAAAGGCGAGGGCACACUGGCCCCUUCUGGAGAGCUCGAGGAGCGGCACCGGCAGAGAGCAGAGCAGGCACAGCUUCCUGUGCUGGCUGUCACUUAACUGGCCAGGGGAAACAAAGCCAUGGCCCCAUUUUCCUGAAUUCACUGCAUAACAA
Ficedula albicollis (Collared flycatcher) is the source of this 856-nucleotide long non-coding RNA. RefSeq lists it as uncharacterized. The transcript is spliced from 3 exons. NCBI's taxonomy places the organism in Eukaryota, Metazoa, Chordata, Aves, Passeriformes, Muscicapidae. The record is from RefSeq and is a predicted model, not a curated record.